Molecule: ribosomal RNA, 610 nt
Filed under: uncultured archaeon
Lineage: Archaea
Description: bacterial SSU rRNA
Rfam family: Archaeal small subunit ribosomal RNA
Source: RNAcentral
GGCCCUACGGGGCGCAGCAGGCGCGAAACCUCUGCAAUGCGGGAAACCGUGACAGGGGGAUCCCAAGUGCUCAUGCAUUGCAUGGGCUGUUCUUUGGUCUAAGUAACCAGAGGAGUAAGGGCUGGGCAAGACCGGUGCCAGCCGCCGCGGUAAUACCGGCAGCUCAAGUGGUAGCCGCGAUUAUUGGGCCUAAAACGUUCGUAGCCGGAUAAGUAAGUCUUUGGUUAAAUCCUGCGACUCAACCGUGGGAAUUCUAGAGAUACUGCUCGUCUUGAGACCGGGAGAGGUUGGAGGUACUCCUAGGGUAGGGGUGAAAUCUUGUAAUCCUUGAAGGACCACCAGUGGCGAAGGCGUCUCACCAGAACGGACCUGACGGCAAGGGACGAAAGCUAGGGGCACGAACCGGAUUAGAUACCCGGGUAGUCCUAGCCAUAAACGAUACUCGCUAGGUGUCGGCCACGGUGCGACCGUUGUCGGUGCCGUAGGGAAGCCGUGAAGCGAGCCACCUGGGAAGUACGGCCGCAAGGCUGAAACUUAAAGGAAUUGGCGGGGGAGCACCACAACGGGUGGAGCUUGCGGUUUAAUUGGAUUCAACGCCGGAAAUCUUACC